GGCCAGCAGCAGCGGUGGAUGCGGUCGGUCUCUCCUCCUCCGCACGUUGAAGCGAGCAAGUGCAGCAACGGCAUGCCUUCCUCCGUCAAACGUGAGCACCGGUUCGACAAGGAGGCUUCGACGAUGGUGAUCGGGAGUUCAGCGGAUGAUUAAUAACUUGGUGAUCGCGCAACAUAACACAAGGAACAACGCGACUCAGUGGUAUGAUGCUUGGAUGUUAGGCUUGAGGGCUCGGGUUCGACUCCAGGGCUAAGCAGUAUGUUUUAAGGUUCACGAUUAUGAACCGAGCUUUGAGUUUGGUGUUGCUAUGGGUUAAGUACGCUUUUGGAUUAAAUACGCUUCAAAGGUAUGGAGUAGUUAUGCGAGAGCGCGCUAGAGCUUUUUCCUAUGAGGAUGUUUAGCCUUAGUUGGUUUUGUUUAGACUUUGAGUUGUUGGGCCUGUGUGCCGUUGAGACAUUAUGAUACUCUUGUUAGUGAUUUG
Molecule: long non-coding RNA, 481 nt
Organism: Ipomoea triloba (trilobed morning glory)
Lineage: Eukaryota; Viridiplantae; Streptophyta; Magnoliopsida; Solanales; Convolvulaceae
Exons: 3
Source: RefSeq, a predicted model, not a curated record